Molecule: non-coding RNA, 134 nt
Filed under: Minutocellus polymorphus
Lineage: Eukaryota; Bacillariophyta; Thalassiosirophyceae; Cymatosirales; Cymatosiraceae
Source: RNAcentral
GGCGACGGUGCUCUCCAGAUCGAUGAAAUGGUAACGAUUAAUCUGUUCCGGAACAAGUUGGAAUCACUCGUAAGAGAAGAGAAGAGGUUGGCGGUGGAGGCCAAGCAGAAGGCGGAGGAGGAAGAGAAGCAGGC